AGUGAACGCUGGCAGUAGGCCUAACACAUGCAGGUCGAACGGCAGCACAGGAGAGCUUGCUCUCUGGGUGGCGAGUGGCGGACGGGUGAGGAAUACAUCGGAAUCUACUUUGUCGUGGGGGAUAACGCAGGGAAACUUGCGCUAAUACCGCAUACGACCUACGGGUGAAAGCAGGGGAUCUUCGGACCUUGCGCGAUUGAAUGAGCCGAUGUCGGAUUAGCUAGUUGGCGGGGUAAAGGCCCACCAAGGCGACGAUCCGUAGCCGGUCUGGGAGGAUGAUCAGCCACACUGGAACUGAGACACGGUCCAGACUCCUACGGGAGGCAGCAGUGGGGAAUAUUGGACAAUGGGCGCAAGCCUGAUCCAGCCAUACCGCGUGGGUGAAGAAGGCCUUCGGGUUGUAAAGCCCUUUUGUUGGGAAAGAAAAGCAGCCGGUUAAUACCCGGUUGUUCUGACGGUACCCAAAGAAUAAGCACCGGCUAACUUCGUGCCAGCCGCCGCGGUAA
RNAcentral lists this ribosomal RNA (506 nucleotides) under uncultured bacterium. RNAcentral describes it as "partial 16S ribosomal RNA". It matches the Rfam family "Bacterial small subunit ribosomal RNA", at positions 29 to 523 of the family's 1533-position model. The record is from RNAcentral.